Long non-coding RNA from Acanthaster planci (crown-of-thorns starfish), 2608 nucleotides. RefSeq lists it as uncharacterized. The record is from RefSeq and is a predicted model, not a curated record. NCBI's taxonomy places the organism in Eukaryota, Metazoa, Echinodermata, Asteroidea, Valvatida, Acanthasteridae.
UGCACGAAAAUGCAGCAAGGUUUUUUGGGUUGACCAACAAACAACGUGCAUGAAAUAAUUACGCGGAUUUUAAGAAGUAUUGCCUAAAUGUUGUAAUUUAUUGUAACGGUGCUAUGACAACCAUGGAGGAAGGAGGGACAACAUGCUUGAGGUCUUUGCAUCCUUUCUUGAAUUUGUUGUACAUAGUAUGUACCAACCGACUUGAGCUGUCAGGUCAAUUGGUCACUUAUUUAGUUUUGUGUGGCACCUAAUUUGCAUACCAGUCGGUCUGACUCUUAGUAAAUGACAUUCCUAGAGCUAUAAACCCUAACCCUCAAUCCUUCACCUGUUGGAGGACUGAGGAGGGUUAGGGUUAAUUUGGCUGGAUCUGUUUAGCUGGGCCCUGCCUCUUGAUUAUGUAACGGCAUACUUGAGCCCGAGAGGGUGUGUCGCCUUAUAAUGGCCGACUAUUGAUUCCUGCACCAACCACAAUGGCAUGAAGACCAUUUUUUAGUCAUUUCGUUUUGUUCCUGAAUUUUAGGUUCGUUCGGGGGUUAUAAUUACACCCCACGGGUCGUCUUGUCGUCGGUUGCAACUCGUCUUUGGAUUGUCUGGCUUUCUUUGUGAUGCUUUGCCAACCUCUGACUAGUUCCGUGCUCGAAACUUAUCCGGGAUCGACUUGAGUCAUCACACAGAACACCUUUUUAUUAAGGUGUGUGGGUGCGUGUGUGUGCACACACAAAAUCCUCACAGUUGGCAUUCGACAUUGGCGCUCCUGGCUGGGCUCGGCCACACGCUGAUUUUCCUUUCCCGAUGGAAACUUCGACUUGCUCCAAUUUCAUGUAAGAAUCUUGGUACAUAGGGAGUGUUUCCCUUUGUUACGGUUAGUCCUCAUAAGGUCGGUUCGGGUGUGCUUUGUUACAAACACACUCUCUCGUAGGAAAUGUACAGGCUCCGUCGGAAACACACCGCAUAUUCCGACUCCACCGCAUACGCAGAUUCGUUUGAUUUUGUGUAACGAUAUUGACAUAUUCGGUAUGUGGAAUUUGGGCGGUGAUAGACGGUCCUCACAAGGCCGGUCCACGUACGUUUUGUUCCUCACACACGCUCUCGUAGCAAAUGUACAGCCUCGCUUCGAAACACGGCGCUUAUUCCGACCUGGUGGGAAACGCAGAUUUACGUGAACCAGCGAGAUGGAACACGCGGAUAUACACUGUAUGUACCUCUUACCUGGUCGCUGUUGCGGUCGGUCCACACACAUGGCCGGCCAGUAGUUGUGGCGUUUCUUGUGCAACACAGACACACAUUCCUGUAAGAAAAAAUGUACAUGUGGAGGGAGGUCGCUCGAAGGCACGGACGGAUAAUUACAUUUGGAAACGUGGGUUUGGGGUCCACAAAAGGCCGGUCGUGGCGACGACACUCUUUUAAGAAACGAUAGACUCGCUAUGAAUAAACUGGAGGGGGCGGAGUCAAGGCCGCAUAGCGUAUUAUCGGGCAAGAGGAUCGAUUUUCUUAAAACAUAAAGCUAAUAAAUGUUACAAUUUCCAAGUCUUGCAAACUCAUGCAACCUAGGUAUGGAACGUGUUUGAUGUUAUUAGACGCUGGAUCUUGUUGAAAGAUUUCACAUUUGUACACUAGAAACCUUGUCCCAGAUCUGUUACAUUAUUUAUCAAGCCGGGUAGUAGGGACUAGGGUCUCCCAUAAUGCAGGUGCAUGGCUCUUGCAUCAUGCUUGGAUACAGGCUUUUAUGCAAAAUGUUACUUUGCAAAACUGUAUUUGUGUAUUAGUGUAUCUUGGAAACAUGUUUUAAUUCGAGAGUUACUAUGGGGUACAUGCUAUGGUAUCCGAAACACUGAGCAAGCUGACUCUAUGCUUCUCGAUUGGUAGUUAGUGCUUGUGGAAGUAAGGCCGAUUGUUAAUUUACUUUUGAACGCAAAAACGCACCUCGGAGGUGCCUUCUGGCGUCCAGUAGUUUAUACAGUUGGUCCUCGUAUGGCUGGUUUGGGUGUGUGUAUGUUGUCCGCAAGUCACACUGGAGAAUUUCUGUACACAGGCUUGUUCUAAAACCCAUGGAAUGAAUAUUCCGACCACAUUGGAAACGCAGGUUUGCCCGGUGAAGAAAACGUCCCUUAUUGGCAACUGCCCACAAAACUAUGGGAAACAUUCGUCCAGAAAAGAAACAAUUGAAAUUUACGCACACACUGAAACACUGACACGCGAAAGACGGAAACGCGAACUGCCAUGAGGAAACUUACUAUACUAUCUUGUGAAUUAGAGGGUCGGGAUGAAAUAUAUGGCAAAAGUGGAGCCAACCCGCUCGCCAUUAAACAUUACAAAACUUCCUUCCAACCAUGCCACCGCGGAAACGUUGUUUUGCCCAAUUUCUGUAAGUCCAUGAGGCAAACCGGAUAUACAUGACUUCUUUCAUUGAGCCUACGUGUGGAGGCAUGCACGAUUUUCCAACCCAGGCUGGUACAUAAAUACUGUAUUUCCCAUACACUGCAAUCGGCUUUGCAGCACUUUUGAUAUUAAAUUUUAAUUUUCCCAAUCAACGGGGUCUCUCUCUUGAGUAAAAAAUGUCAAUCGAUUUUCUGUUCUCAGCCAAGUUUCAUUUAUAUGAAAGCAUUUU